Molecule: ribosomal RNA, 387 nt
Filed under: uncultured bacterium
Lineage: Bacteria
Description: bacterial SSU rRNA
Rfam family: Bacterial small subunit ribosomal RNA
Source: RNAcentral
GACGAACGCUGGCGGCGUGCCUAAUACAUGCAAGUAGAACGCUGAAGAGAGGAGCUUGCUCUUCUUGGAUGAGUUGCGAACGGGUGAGUAACGCGUAGGUAACCUGCCUUGGAGUGGGGAAUAACACAGUGAAAAUUGUGCUAAUACCGCAUAAUGCAGUUGGGUCGCAUGACUCUGACUGCCAAAGAUUUAUCGCUCUGAGAUGGCCUCGCGUCUGAUUACCUAGUUGGUGGGGUAACGGCCCACCAAGGCGACGAUCAGUAGCCGGACUGAGAGGUUGGCCGGCCACAUUGGGACUGAGACACGGCCCAGACUCCUACGGGAGGCAGCAGUGGGGAAUAUUGGGGCAAUGGGGCGCAAGCCUGACCCAGCAACGCCGCGUGAAGG